RNAcentral lists this unclassified non-coding RNA (244 nucleotides) under fungal sp. RNAcentral's name for it is "partial internal transcribed spacer region". The stretch from base 1 to 45 matches the Rfam family "Eukaryotic small subunit ribosomal RNA", at positions 1787 to 1831 of the family's 1831-position model. The record is from RNAcentral. Lineage: Eukaryota; Fungi.
AGUCGUAACAAGGUAUCCGUAGGUGAACCUGCGGAUGGAUCAUUAUAGGAUGUUGGGUGAUUGUGAGUGGUUUUAUUAUUAGUAGUUUGAGCGGUGUUGGUUGGGGUGCGAAGCAGGAUUGCGAAGCAGGAUUGCCAAGCAGGAUUGCCAAGCAAGACAGCCAACAUCGCCUCACCUUAAACUCUAUAAAUCUAACAAUUGCAUACAAAAAAAACAACUUUUAGCAACGGAUCUCUGGGCUCUC